RNA transcript from Gossypium arboreum, 2516 nucleotides. It is a transcript of the gene named OVARIAN TUMOR DOMAIN-containing deubiquitinating enzyme 6-like, with no coding region annotated. NCBI's taxonomy places the organism in Eukaryota, Viridiplantae, Streptophyta, Magnoliopsida, Malvales, Malvaceae. The record is from RefSeq and is a predicted model, not a curated record. The transcript is spliced from 9 exons.
AAACAGAUUUAAUAUCCGCCGGAAGAGAAGGUUUGAUGUCACUAGCUCGCCUGACACGGAAAAGAGAAAUUACCCGAUCAUUAGUAGCCACGUCACUCUCGUAAUUUUCACACGUGUUCCACGACAGCAGAGUAAGCCAAGUAGGCACGUGUGGAAUUCAUGAGGGAGGAGCCAGCACGUCGUCCGCGUCAUCACUUUCCCCAAACGGUGGUCUUGCCUCCGAUCCGACACCUCCUUUCUAAUCUAUCCCAUUUUCUCUCUCUAUCAAUAAAAGAAGAAACAACAUUUUCAAUUUCCAUUUUUCCUUUGUUUGCUUUCUUCCUCUCUCUUUUCUCUCGCUAAAUACUCUCCUUUGCCUUCAAGUUAUCUUCUUUUCGGCCUCACCUUUAUUCAAAAACCCUAACAUACGACCUAAUACCCCAUCCCCCCCCUAUUUUUUAUUUUUUUGUAUUCAUCUCUUAUUUUGCAGAUUUUAGCUGGGUCUCCAAACCUCCUCUCCUCCUUCCUUUGCAGCUUGGGCGCUUUUGGGAAUUUUUCUGGGUACAAUAUUUCGAGUAAUUUGAGGGUUUUAUUGUUUAAAGUUCGAGGUCUGGGUCUCAUGAGACUUGUCAGGGGAAUGCAGAGAUUGUUUCGUGAUGUGGUGAACGUGCUGGGCUGGAAGAAAUCCUUCAGCCAAGGGAUUGGCGUUACUGUGCCCAAGGCAAGAACUCGCGACAAACCUAUGAUUAGGGUUUUGAAUUUCUAAAUUUAAGGGGUUUUGAAGGGAAGAAUUAGGACAGAGUAUCUCACUGAGAAUAGUUAUCAUCAAAAGCUAUGACUCGCAUUUUGGUUCAAAGAGGUUCCACUGGCAGCUCUUCUUUGAAUCUGAGCCGCUCUUCUUCCUUGCCCGGACCAUCUGUUUUUUUUACUCAUCAAGUUCCUUCAGCUGCAAAAGAUGGGGAGGUUAAUGAGGAAGUGUCAGAACUAGUUGCUUCAGAUGAGCGUUUAGAGUGUUCCAGGAGUAGUGAGAAUAAGGGUGUGAAAGAUGAUCCUUUGGUAGAAUAUUUGCGAAAUGAUCGGAAUGAAACUUCAAGUGAUGCAAUUGCUGAGGCUGAGAAAGUGAACACUCUUGCUGCCUUGGGUUCAUGUGAUAUGAUGGAUAAUUCAGGUGAAAAAGUUGCUUCUGAAACCGAAGUUUCAAGUGGUGAACCCUCCCCAAUUGGCAGCAGAAGUUCUCAUCCUCCUCCACCUCCUGCUCCACCACCUAAACCUUCAUCAGAAAAUUUAAAUUCAAGAAGAUUUGCCUCAGGAAGCUCAAAUCCUGUUCGUGCUGGAUCAUCUAGAAGAGCUGUUGCCUGGCCCAUCGUUUCUACAAGAACCUCACCAUCUGAGUCAAGGCCUUCUUCUCCUAGAUCUCAUAGUGAGAAUGAGGGUUACAAUAGUGCUGAUGAACAAAGCCCAUGCUUUGUAUCCUCAUAUGGUGAUGCUGAAAGGGAGCGGCAAUUUGAAAUUGAUAUUAGACUAGCAAUAGGUUUAGAAGUCAAACGGAUGCUAGAAGAUGGGAACUGCCUCUUCGGAGCUGUUGCUGAUCAAGUGUAUGGGGACUUUGAAGCUUAUCAUUUGAUUCGUCAAAUGUGCAUUGACUACAUGGAGCGAGAGAGAGAUCACUUUUCUCAGUUUAUAACAGAAGGCUUUACAUCUUAUUGUAAGAGGAAAAGAAUAGAUAAGGUCUAUGGGAACGUGGAGAUUCAAGCCUUAUCAGAAAUGUAUAACAGACCUAUUCAUAUCUACUCCUACAGCAUAGAACCUAUCAACAUAUUUCAUGGAAGCUAUAAUACUGACACACCUCCCAUAAGGCUUAGCUACCAUCAUGGGAAUCAUUACAAUUCACUUGUUGACCCACGUCGUUUGACAAUUGGCGCUGGGCUUGGAUUUAGCUGUCUUCAAGGGACUAAUGUGGACAAGGAUCAAGUCAAGGAUGCUAUUAAAGCUCAACAAGACCAACAGAUUGAUAAUGCACUCCUGGCGGAGGGGCGGUUCUACUCUGAUCUGGAACUUACUGAGAAGGAAAUCGAGUGAAUGGUGAUGGAAGCUUCACGAGCUGAGUACCUUGGGAAUGACAAGUUUAAGAUGCAUGUGGAACGUGCUUCAACUGCGGAACCAUCAUCGUCUGGAGCUAGUACGUAUUGCAAAGAUCUGAAAAUCUAAUAUUGGAGGGUUCAAAAGAGCAAGUUCUGAACAGUGGGAUGGAAUUGGUGUUGUCAAUGGGAUUCAGUUAUCUGGCAAUAGAAGCGUACAGCAUAUUGGGGGAUGAUGUGGAGUCCAUGGUGUGUUAUCUCCUAGAAACAGGGAGUAGCAGCAGACGCGAAGGCAAGGCAACCGAACCAAGCAAUGAAAGAAUGUAGACGCAAAGGCAAGGCAACAUUCGUUUAAAAAACUCUAUUUGCUCUGUAUCAAAUAAAUUUUCUGAAAUCCCGAGAAAUGUAUGAAUUAUAAUUAAAUAAUUUAAAUAAAAUUAUUAAUUUUUAUUUUUAAAA